This 222-nucleotide ribosomal RNA is filed under the name uncultured Glomeromycotina. Its description in RNAcentral is "partial 18S ribosomal RNA". The stretch from base 40 to 222 matches the Rfam family "Eukaryotic small subunit ribosomal RNA", at positions 686 to 872 of the family's 1831-position model. Lineage: Eukaryota; Fungi; Glomeromycota. The record is from RNAcentral.
GGAUCAAUGCGUUGGUCGUGCCUUCGGUACGUACUAGCGUCAUUGAUUCCUCCCUUCUGAAGAACCGUGAUGUCAUUAAUUUGGUGUUACGGGGAAUCAGGACUGUUACCUUAAAAUUAAGAGUGUUUAAAGCAGGCUAACGCUUGAAUACAUUAGCAUGGAAUAAUGAAAUAGGACGUUCGAACCUAUUUUGUUAGUUUCUAAGAUCGACGUAAUGAUUAA